GAAGCAGACCCAGGAGAAACUGUCUGUUGAAGACCCCCCCCCACCCCCCACCAAGCUGCCCACCAGAGGCCAAGCUGUACUUGGUGUUUGCCAACAUGCUGUAAUUUCCAGCCUGGUUGCUGUAGCCACAGAGGAAUUUUCAAGGACAAGAACCAGUGCUGGUAAAACUGUGGUCUCUGUGGUUUUCCAUACCGGCUCUCGGCAAGGAUUUUCAAGAAAGGAAUACCAUCUCCAAAUCAUGAUGUGCCAAUAAGCUCCAGUUAGCUGCGGCCUUUUCCCCAGGCGGUAGUCCUGCAAUCUGAAUCCAGGAGAUGCAGCUCUGAAUCCAAUAUUUCAGAAGAAUGAAGAUGAAGCAGACCCAGGAGA
Molecule: long non-coding RNA, 366 nt
Organism: Mya arenaria
Lineage: Eukaryota; Metazoa; Mollusca; Bivalvia; Myida; Myidae
Exons: 4
Source: RefSeq, a predicted model, not a curated record